GAGAUAUAUACUGUCUCAUAUAUAUUUGAUGAAUUUAAAUUUUUAGUAAAAAUGCUUAAAUAAUUUUAUGGGACGAUAAGACCCUAUAGAAUUUUAUAUUAAUAUUUUAUUAAUUAUUUAAUUAAAAUAUUAAUAUUUAAUUGGGAGGAUUAAUAAAUUUAAAAAACUUUAUUUUAAAAAUAAACUUUGAUUUUAGAGUUAAUUUUUGAUCUUUUAUUAUAAAUCAAAAGAAUAAAUUACCUUAGGGAUAACAGCGUAAUAUCUUUUUAAAGAUCAUAUUUAAAAAGAUGUUUGCGACCUCGAUGUUGAAUUAAGAUAAAUUUUAAACGGAGAAGUUUAAUAAUUAAGUCUGUUCGACUUUUAAAAUCUUACAUGA
Molecule: ribosomal RNA, 376 nt
Filed under: Bombus pauloensis
Lineage: Eukaryota; Metazoa; Arthropoda; Insecta; Hymenoptera; Apidae
Description: partial 16S ribosomal RNA
Rfam family: Archaeal large subunit ribosomal RNA (bases 247-376)
Source: RNAcentral